RNAcentral lists this microRNA precursor (104 nucleotides) under Ictidomys tridecemlineatus (thirteen-lined ground squirrel). RNAcentral describes it as "miRNA (ENSSTOG00000032270.1)". The record is from RNAcentral. Lineage: Eukaryota; Metazoa; Chordata; Mammalia; Rodentia; Sciuridae.
CUAUAUCUGUGAUCUGUGCCUGUAUGUGUGCAUGAACACGUGUGUACGCAUGCACAUGUAUGUACAUAUGUACUUACAUAUAUUUAUAAAAUGAACACCUAAGA